UACUACUAUGCAAAUACCUCUGGUAAGAAAGUGAUAGCUAUAAAUAUUACAGCAACUUAUUGUUUUGUUUAUAAAUUAUGUUGGACAGAAGAUGUAAUAAAUAAAGUAGGUUAAGCUAAUGUUAUUUAGUUAUGUAUUUCAGUAUAUGUAUAUAAAGUGAAUUGAAUAAUAAAACAACUUUCCUAAAAAAGAUUCCUUAUCACUAACAAUGGAUGGUACCAUUUCUAUGCAAAAAUUACCCAAAAUUUGAUAGGAUCUGGGCAAGCUGCUGGGUCGGUGACAGCUACGCGAUAUUGCAAGCUAUUGAAAAUUAUUGAUAUGUACAAUCUUUGAAAACGACUUUGUUGUAUUUGGUAGGGAGAUAUAAAAAGGCAAAACCUCUGACUGGUAUAGAAGUUUUUUUUUUUUUUUUUUUUUUAACUAAGGGCUUUCACUUUAAAACUUAAACUAUUACAAGAUAAGAUUGGAAAUCUUAUAGUUUGGAAAAGCUGGAAUGAAACAAGUUUCAUGUAAGAGUGAAUCUCAAACCAAUGAAACAACAAAGGUUGAGACUAGAUAAACCAAUGAUGGUGAGAAAGACACUAGCUAAUGAUAGGAGCCACGGCCUCGUCGGCCACGGUUUCCUCUCCCUCGGACUGUUUUCCAUUCCAUGUUUUGAUACUUGAUGGGAGGCUUUGACUCUCUCCCACCUCUAGUCAAGCUGAACGAGUUUGAAGGCUCAAUUUCAGCUUCAUCCACUUCUUCUAACACUGUAAAACGAGAAGGUCUCUCAAAGGCACAAUGAUUAGUUGAUGUGGUUAAAGGAUUAAUAACAGAGGACUCUAGGACCUUGUUAUUGAUAAUACUUGAUGGAGAGGUUUCCAUAAUCUGUUAAUAAGAGGGAGUAGACUGUGCAUCUACUAAUGUGGAGUAAGCAGGAACUGAGUUAAGCGGAACAAUGGGCUUCUCUUGUUGUGAAUGAGAAGAAGGAGAUAAAGUUUCAAGCACAGCGACAAGGCGUACCUCUUCUAAGACGUGGCCAGA
This 1023-nucleotide long non-coding RNA is filed under the name Brassica rapa (field mustard). RNAcentral describes it as "long non-coding RNA (BRAP_LNC003720)". Lineage: Eukaryota; Viridiplantae; Streptophyta; Magnoliopsida; Brassicales; Brassicaceae. The record is from RNAcentral.